This 713-nucleotide ribosomal RNA is filed under the name uncultured bacterium. RNAcentral describes it as "bacterial SSU rRNA". It matches the Rfam family "Bacterial small subunit ribosomal RNA", at positions 122 to 823 of the family's 1533-position model. The record is from RNAcentral.
UAACCUGCCUUGUAGCGGGGGAUAACUAUUGGAAACGAUAGCUAAUACCGCAUAACAAUGGAUGACACAUGUCAUUUAUUUGAAAGGGGCAAUUGCUCCACUACAAGAUGGACCUGCGUUGUAUUAGCUAGUAGGUGAGGUAACGGCUCACCUAGGCGACGAUACAUAGCCGACCUGAGAGGGUGAUCGGCCACACUGGGACUGAGACACGGCCCAGACUCCUACGGGAGGCAGCAGUAGGGAAUCUUCGGCAAUGGGGGCAACCCUGACCGAGCAACGCCGCGUGAGUGAAGAAGGUUUUCGGAUCGUAAAGCUCUGUUGUAAGUCAAGAACGAGUGUGAGAGUGGAAAGUUCACACUGUGACGGUAGCUUACCAGAAAGGGACGGCUAACUACGUGCCAGCAGNCGCGGUAAUACGUAGGUCCCGAGCGUUGUCCGGAUUUAUUGGGCGUAAAGCGAGCGCAGGCGGUUUGAUAAGUCUGAAGUUAAAGGCUGUGGCUCAACCAUAGUUCGCUUUGGAAACUGUCAAACUUGAGUGCAGAAGGGGAGAGUGGAAUUCCAUGUGUAGCGGUGAAAUGCGUAGAUAUAUGGAGGAACACCGGUGGCGAAAGCGGCUCUCUGGUCUGUAACUGACGCUGAGGCUCGAAAGCGUGGGGAGCGAACAGGAUUAGAUACCCUGGUAGUCCACGCCGUAAACGAUGAGUGCUAGGUGU